GGUGACUCUGAAUAACUCAGCUGAUCGCACGGUCUCGCGCCGGCGACAUAUCUUUCAAGUGUCUGCCUUAUCAACUGUCGAUGGUAGUUUAUGUGACUACCAUGGUUGUAACGGGUAACGGAGAAUCAGGGUUCGACUCCGGAGAGGGAGCCUGAGAAACGGCUACCACUUCC
RNAcentral lists this ribosomal RNA (173 nucleotides) under Halomonhystera sp. CAS004. RNAcentral describes it as "partial 18S ribosomal RNA". It matches the Rfam family "Eukaryotic small subunit ribosomal RNA", at positions 245 to 417 of the family's 1831-position model. The record is from RNAcentral. Lineage: Eukaryota; Metazoa; Nematoda; Chromadorea; Monhysterida; Monhysteridae.